Molecule: ribosomal RNA, 451 nt
Filed under: uncultured bacterium
Lineage: Bacteria
Description: bacterial SSU rRNA
Rfam family: Bacterial small subunit ribosomal RNA
Source: RNAcentral
GCUGUCGUCAGCUCGUGUCGUGAGAUGUUGGGUUAAGUCCCGCAACGAGCGCAACCCUCGAUCUUAGUUACCAUCAUUGAGUUGGGGACUCUAAGAUAACCGCCGGUGAUAAGCCGGAGGAAGGUGGGGAUGACGUCAAGUCCUCAUGGCCCUUACGCGCUGGGCUACACACGUGCUACAAUGGCAACUACAGUGGGCAGCGACCCUGCGAGGGCGAGCUAAUCCCCAAAAGUUGUCUCAGUUCGGAUUGUUCUCUGCAACUCGAGAGCAUGAAGGCGGAAUCGCUAGUAAUCGCGGAUCAGCAUGCCGCGGUGAAUACGUUCCCAGGCCUUGUACACACCGCCCGUCACACCAUGGGAGUUGGAUUCACCCGAAGGCGUUGCGCCAACCCGCAAGGGAAGCAGGCGACCACGGUGGGUUCAGCGACUGGGGUGAAGUCGUAACAAGGUAG